This 1390-nucleotide ribosomal RNA is filed under the name Kocuria sp. TMT4-4. RNAcentral's name for it is "bacterial SSU rRNA". It matches the Rfam family "Bacterial small subunit ribosomal RNA". Lineage: Bacteria; Bacillati; Actinomycetota; Actinomycetes; Micrococcales; Micrococcaceae. The record is from RNAcentral.
UGCAAGUCGAACGAUGAUGCCCAGCUUGCUGGGCGGAUUAGUGGCGAACGGGUGAGUAAUACGUGAGUAACCUGCCCUUGACUCUGGGAUAAGCCUGGGAAACUGGGUCUAAUACUGGAUACUACCUCUUACCGCAUGGUGGGUGGUGGAAAGGGUUUUACUGGUUUUGGAUGGGCUCACGGCCUAUCAGCUUGUUGGUGGGGUAAUGGCUCACCAAGGCGACGACGGGUAGCCGGCCUGAGAGGGUGACCGGCCACACUGGGACUGAGACACGGCCCAGACUCCUACGGGAGGCAGCAGUGGGGAAUAUUGCACAAUGGGCGGAAGCCUGAUGCAGCGACGCCGCGUGAGGGAUGACGGCCUUCGGGUUGUAAACCUCUUUCAGUAGGGAAGAAGCGAGAGUGACGGUACCUGCAGAAGAAGCGCCGGCUAACUACGUGCCAGCAGCCGCGGUAAUACGUAGGGCGCAAGCGUUGUCCGGAAUUAUUGGGCGUAAAGAGCUCGUAGGCGGUUUGUCGCGUCUGCUGUGAAAGCCCGGGGCUCAACCCCGGGUCUGCAGUGGGUACGGGCAGACUAGAGUGCAGUAGGGGAGACUGGAAUUCCUGGUGUAGCGGUGAAAUGCGCAGAUAUCAGGAGGAACACCGAUGGCGAAGGCAGGUCUCUGGGCUGUUACUGACGCUGAGGAGCGAAAGCAUGGGGAGCGAACAGGAUUAGAUACCCUGGUAGUCCAUGCCGUAAACGUUGGGCACUAGGUGUGGGGGACAUUCCACGUUUUCCGCGCCGUAGCUAACGCAUUAAGUGCCCCGCCUGGGGAGUACGGCCGCAAGGCUAAAACUCAAAGGAAUUGACGGGGGCCCGCACAAGCGGCGGAGCAUGCGGAUUAAUUCGAUGCAACGCGAAGAACCUUACCAAGGCUUGACAUUCACCGGACCGCCNCAGAGAUGGGGUUUCCCUUCGGGGCUGGUGGACAGGUGGUGCAUGGUUGUCGUCAGCUCGUGUCGUGAGAUGUUGGGUUAAGUCCCGCAACGAGCGCAACCCUCGUUCUAUGUUGCCAGCACGUGAUGGUGGGGACUCAUAGGAGACUGCCGGGGUCAACUCGGAGGAAGGUGGGGAUGACGUCAAAUCAUCAUGCCCCUUAUGUCUUGGGCUUCACGCAUGCUACAAUGGCCGGUACAAAGGGUUGCGAUACUGUGAGGUGGAGCUAAUCCCAAAAAGCCGGUCUCAGUUCGGAUUGAGGUCUGCAACUCGACCUCAUGAAGUCGGAGUCGCUAGUAAUCGCAGAUCAGCAACGCUGCGGUGAAUACGUUCCCGGGCCUUGUACACACCGCCCGUCAAGUCACGAAAGUUGGUAACACCCGAAGCCGGUGGCCUAACCCCUUGUGGGAGGGAG